AUGCACGCUGGCGGCGUGCCUAACACAUGCACGUCGAACGGAGUCCAGCCUUUAAGACCUUCGGGUCAAAGAGGGGAAGACUGAGUGGCGGACGGGUGAGUAACACGUGGGCAACCUGGCUCAUAGAGGGGGAUAACAGAGAGAAAUUUCUGCUAAUACCGCAUAAGCACACACUGCCGCAUGGCAGAGGGUGAAAAGAGAAUCGCUAUGAGAUGGACCCGCGUCUGAUUAGCCAGUUGGCAGGGUAAGAGCCUACCAAAGCGACGAUCAGUAGCCGAUCUGAGAGGAUGAACGGCCACAUUGGGACUGAGACACGGCCCAAACUCCUACGGGAGGCAGCAGUGGGGGAUAUUGCACAAUGGGGGGAACCCUGAUGCAGCGACGCCGCGUGAGUGAAGAAGUAUUUCGGUAUGUAAAGCUCUAUCAGCAGGGAAGAUAAUGACAGUACCUGAAGAAGAAGCCCCGGCUAACUACGUG
RNAcentral lists this ribosomal RNA (477 nucleotides) under uncultured bacterium. Its description in RNAcentral is "partial 16S ribosomal RNA". It matches the Rfam family "Bacterial small subunit ribosomal RNA", at positions 30 to 507 of the family's 1533-position model. The record is from RNAcentral.